This 987-nucleotide long non-coding RNA is filed under the name Gallus gallus (chicken). RNAcentral's name for it is "lncRNA (ENSGALG00010001080.1)". The record is from RNAcentral. Lineage: Eukaryota; Metazoa; Chordata; Aves; Galliformes; Phasianidae.
GGGGAUGCAAAUGGAUUUUGCUGUAGGUCCCUGCAUACUUGAGGCCUUCUGGAGGUGGGGAAUGAAAAUGGCAUCUCUAAGCCUUGAAGCAGAGAUCUCUAUCAUGUCAAGAUCCUUCCCUAUGAAGUUCAGGUUUGAUGACUGGAAGUUUCUCUGUAAUUGGUGAAGAUAUGAUAUCCAUGUUAAAGUCAUUCUGAGGAACAGAAUGGGGUUGGAAUCAUGUAAAAAUUAUCCACUGCUACCUUUCCAGUUAAAUAAAGUGGAGAUCAUCUAUUACUGUCAAACAGAGUUAUUUUAGAAGUAAUCGUUUCAGUAGAGUGAGGAGGAUAAACGUCUUUUUGUCACUACCUUGGCAGAUAUUUAAGCUCUCCACACCCCUGCAGUGGCAUUUUCUUGGGAUUAUAGCCAAGCCUUGUCUUCAGGGGACACAGAGACUCCUGCUACACCACAGUCACAGCCCAGAGAAAAGUGACAGCAAACUCAAUGCUGUUCUCAGCUUAUCUGCCAAGACUGAUGUAAUGCUGAAGAAGCUGAAGUUCAAUGACAGAAGCAGAAAGGAAAAAUUGUUUCCUAUCUAAAAUCAAAUAAAUGAAGUAUGAAACUACCCACUCAUCUUGACUUUCAUGAAGAAGAUCAGCACACACAAAAAAAGCUGUAAUUCUUAUGUUCGCACAAAAAAUUACAGAGACCAUGACCUUACAGCACUUGCCUUUGCUCAUUGCUUGCCCUGUGCUCAACACAUUGCUGAGGGCCCUUCUUGCAGUUUGUGCAGCAUGGCAGGGAAGGUACAGCAGCUCCCAUGUCAACUGGGGAGAAGUAAAAUGUAAUGACAGCUCUGAUGAAACUGCAGUAGCAAAUGGCCGCUUGAACUGCCUCAAAGCUUGCGUGAAGAGAACAGCUCUGAAGAUCCACAGCUUCACGUGCAACUUCUUUGUUGUCAGACCAACAUGAUGUGACAUUUAUAAGGAAUCUUCUGGGAACUGGGGG